Molecule: ribosomal RNA, 492 nt
Filed under: uncultured bacterium
Lineage: Bacteria
Description: partial 16S ribosomal RNA
Rfam family: Bacterial small subunit ribosomal RNA
Source: RNAcentral
AGUGAACGCUGGCGGUAGGCCUAACACAUGCAAGUCGAACGGCAGCACAGUAAGAGCUUGCUCUUACGGGUGGCGAGUGGCGGACGGGUGAGGAAUACAUCGGAAUCUACUUUUUCGUGGGGGAUAACGUAGGGAAACUUACGCUAAUACCGCAUACGACCUACGGGUGAAAGCAGGGGAUCUUCGGACCUUGCGCGAUUGAAUGAGCAGAUGUCGGAUUAGCUAGUUGGGGGGGUAAAGGCCCACCAAGGCGACGAUCCGUAGCUGGUCUGAGAGGAUGAUCAGCCACACUGGAACUGAGACACGGUCCAGACUCCUACGGGAGGCAGCAGUGGGGAAUAUUGGACAAUGGGCGCAAGCCUGAUCCAGCCAUACCGCGUGGGUGAAGAAGGCCUUCGGGUUGUAAAGCCCUUUUGUUGGGAAAGAAAAGCAGCAGGUUAAUACCCCGCUGUUCUGACGGUACCCAAAGAAUAAGCACCGGCUAACUUCGUG